AGUGAACGCUGGCGGUAGGCCUAACACAUGCAAGUCGAACGGCAGCACAGUAAGAGCUUGCUCUUACGGGUGGCGAGUGGCGGACGGGUGAGGAAUACAUCGGAAUCUACUUUUUCGUGGGGGAUAACGUAGGGAAACUUACGCUAAUACCGCAUGCGACCUACGGGUGAAAGCAGGGGAUCUUCGGACCUUGCGCGAUUGAAUGAGCCGAUGUCGGAUUAGCUAGUUGGCGGGGUAAAGGCCCACCAAGGCGACGAUCCGUAGCUGGUCUGAGAGGAUGAUCAGCCACACUGGAACUGAGACACGGUCCAGACUCCUACGGGAGGCAGCAGUGGGGAAUAUUGGACAAUGGGCGCAAGCCUGAUCCAGCCAUACCGCGUGGGUGAAGAAGGCCCUCGGGUUGUAAAGCCCUUUUGUUGGGAAAGAAAAGCAGCAGGUUAAUACCCCGCUGUUCUGACGGUACCCAAAGAAUAAGCACCGGCUAACUUCGUG
RNAcentral lists this ribosomal RNA (492 nucleotides) under uncultured bacterium. Its description in RNAcentral is "partial 16S ribosomal RNA". It matches the Rfam family "Bacterial small subunit ribosomal RNA", at positions 29 to 507 of the family's 1533-position model. The record is from RNAcentral.